Molecule: ribosomal RNA, 859 nt
Filed under: uncultured bacterium
Lineage: Bacteria
Description: SSU rRNA
Rfam family: Bacterial small subunit ribosomal RNA
Source: RNAcentral
CACGGAGGGUGCAAGCGUUAUUCGGAAUCACUGGGCGUAAAGAGCGCGCAGGCGGUUUCUUAAGUCGGAUGUGAAAGCCCGGGGCUCAACCCCGGAAGUGCAUUUGAAACUACUGAACUUGAGUCUGGGAGAGGAAAAUGGAAUUCCUGGUGUAGGGGUGAAAUGCGUAGAUAUCAGGAGGAACACCGGUGGCGAUGGCGACUUCCUGGACCAAUACUGACGCUGAGGCGCGAAGGCGUGGGGAGCAAACAGGAUUAGAUACCCUGGUAGUCCACGCAGUAAACGAUGAACGCUAGGUGUUGCGGGUAUUGGUCUCUUCUGUGACGCAGUUAACGCAUUAAGCGUUCCGCCUGGGGAGUACGGUCGCAAGACUAAAACUCAAAGGAAUAGACGGGGGCCCGCACAAGCGGUGGAGCAUGUGGUUUAAUUCGACGCUACGCGAAGAACCUUACCUGGGUUUGACAUCCCGGGAAUCUUGUGGAGACACAAGAGUGCCCUUCGGGGAGCCCGGUGACAGGUGCUGCACGGCUGUCGUCAGCUCGUGUCGUGAGAUGUUGGGUUAAGUCCCGCAACGAGCGCAACCCUUAUUUUUAGUUACCAGCGUUCAGUUGGGGGCUUUUAAGAUGCUGCCCCGGUCAACGGGGAGGAAGGUGGGGAUGACGUCAAGUCCUCAUGGCCCUUAUGCCCAGGGCUACACACGUGCUACAAUGGGUAGGACAAAGGGUCGCCACAUCGCGAGAUGGAGCCAAUCUAUUAAAGCAGUUUCUAGUUGGGAUGUGAUUUUGCAAUUGGACUCCAGGAAGCCGGAAUCGUUAUUAUUCGAGGUUCAGCAUGCCACGGUGAAUACGUUCCCGGGUCU